AUGAGGAAUGAGGAAGGCCCCCUGACGGACGAUAUCACUUUCAUAGGAGUGCUUUCUGCUUGUGUGCACGCAGGGUUGCUGAAAGACGACCUGCGUUGGUUCAAUUCCUUGACAUCUGAGUUCCAAAUAGUUCCCAAGGUCGAGCACUACUCCUGCAUGGUUGAUUUAUUGGCACGUGCCGGACAUUUGGAAGAAGCAUGGGAUUUCACCGAGAAGAUCCCUAGUAAGGCAGACGCGGUGAUGUUGGGGGGCUUUCUUGCCGCUUGUCAGAAAUGCAAAAAUGUUGAGGUCGGUGCUAGGUUCAUCAACAUGAUCAUGCUACUGGAGCCCUCAAACUUGUGGAACUGCAUGGUUUCAUCCAAGAUAUAUGCAAGCUCAAAUAGAUUUGACGAAUCUGCAUGGAUGAGAGGGCUGAUGAGAGAGUGGUGUCAGCAAAAUUCCAGGUUGCAACUGGAUUGA
RNAcentral lists this ribosomal RNA (459 nucleotides) under Triticum aestivum (bread wheat). Its description in RNAcentral is "partial small subunit ribosomal RNA". Lineage: Eukaryota; Viridiplantae; Streptophyta; Magnoliopsida; Poales; Poaceae. The record is from RNAcentral.